AAGCGGCUGGGAGUGGGGGGAGGCCGCGGCGGCGGCGCGGCGGGGGGAGGCAGGGCGGGCAGGGGCGGCGGCGGCGGGGCCGGCGGGGCCGGGGCCGGGGCCGGGGCCGGGGCCGGAGCCGGAGCCGGAGCCGGAGGGGCGGGCGGCAGCGUAUCCCAGCGGUGGGGGAGAGCGGACAUGCAGCAUCCACCUGCCGGCCUCCCUGUGCACUGGGCCACCUCAAGCCCUCGCUAGGAUGAAGUACCUCUGGGAUAACCCUGAAGUUAGAGGGCCAAGAAAUACAGCUUUCCUUGUCAUGCUGUUUUCUGCUAGGAUGGUUGCCCGCUUCGGCUACACUGGCUGAAAGGAGGGCAAGAAGAAGGAGAACUGUGCAGCAAGAGUAGGCAAAGCAAAUGCUGUGGGAUCAGGGCCUGCAGGCUGCAAAUGCUGAUGAGCUUCCAGGGGACUUGCAGGGUGUGUUUGCACGGCACAGGAGUGUGCUGCUGUGAGCAGCAGGACCUUGCCAUCCUUGACACCAAAACUUUGAUUCUGCUUAUGCAAGUCCAAGAAAGCAUGCUUGGAGAUUGGUUUUGCUUUUUAAAAAAAAAAAAAUAUGGGAGGGGAUGAACUACAUUUUUUGUGCACCUCCUUUUCUCAGCUGCUUUCCUGUACAGCCUUGGGAAAAUCAUGUCUGCCUUGGUUUCACCCUCUGUAAAAUGGGGAUAAUAAUAAUGACAGACCCCUGCUUUUAGAUUGCUGGAUCAAAGGUGCUAUGUAAGUUCAAAGUGCUGUUUCUAUAGGGUAUUAUUGCCAAAUUCACUAUCAGCAAUUCCAUUGGGCACUUGAUAACAACAGUAGAAUCAGUCAAACGCCCUUGAUGCAUUGCAUGGUCCCAGAUACCUUUCAGAGCCUCUUUGUGUGCCAUCCCACCCCCUGAGGUCUGCAAGGAUGGGGCUUUUGGAGCCUGGAUUUUGCAGAAGCAGGAGGGGUAUAGUCUGUGUCUUUGCUUCUGGCCCCUGAAGUAUGGACCGCUUUUCUUUUUGACCUGAUGAGGACUGCUGGAACUAGCCCAUUUAAAAACAGGUUUAAAACAUGGAACUUUUUUUAUAUAAAUAUAUAUAUAUAUAAAUUUCAUAAGGCCUUUAGCACAUAAUGCUAAGCUCUUGUUGAUUUUGAGUUGUUUUACUCUUGCAUGGUUUGUUGUAAUUUUAAUCUGUAUUUGUUUCAUUGCAGAGUGGUUAGGAUGCUUUCAGAUCUAAACAUGAUGCUAAUAGAAAUUUGGUUCAUCUUAGCUUUGCAAUUUUUAGCUAUUAGGUACCUAACCAUUUUCUAAAAUAUCACCUUUUUAAAGAGACUACCCCAGGAAAGCUAAUACCUUAAUAGCUGGAACUGUUGCAAUUGUGAUUAACUUACAAUACUAUUCUUUCAAUUACAAAAUGUUUCUAAAAUACAUUUCAUGUUUCUGAAUUUUCUAAAAUAUAAUGGUAUAUGGUCCAGUGUCAAAACAAGAAGGGUAAAUGUUAUAUUGGAUAUUACAGUGCAGGGCUUCCAUGAAUGAAUUCACAAAAAUCCAGUUAUUUUUCUUCUACUACUUUUCUUUUUUUCCCCCAAGAAGCAUCCACUCUGUAUAUACAGCUUCAAAAGUUUCUUUGGAGCUCUUUUAUACUUUAGUAGGUUUGUUUUGGAGACUAUUUGCUAGAUGACUAUGCCGCAGACAUAUUUUUUUCAAAAGGUCAAGCAGUAUUCUAACAUGUCCAUUGUGUAUCACUGCAGUAAGAAAUCCUCAGUGCAAAGGAGAGCUUCAUGGUUAAAUUUUAAAAGAUAAUGAUUUAAAUCUUUUUGUUAGCCUCUUUUUUACAUCCUUAGCACUGCUUUUGGGGAGUCAGCUUUUAACACCGUAGAAAGCAGGAAGACCAUUAAUUAAAAAUAACAAACAGCUAAAGAUAAACUUAGUUGGUCACCUUUCCUGAUGAAAUUCUGGCAUUUAGCAGUGUUUUUAAGGAACAUAGUAACGAAUGAGUAGGAAUUGCACUAAUAUAAGGACAAAGCAAAACUACCAAUUACGGAAACAUCUAAGGCUCUGGGCCUGAAUCUUUGAUUUCCCAUAUGGAUCUUAAAAACAUAUGCAUAAUUAGCUUCUAACUGUGCAUAAUCUAGGAAUGUAUUCAAGAAUCAAUUACAGAUAUUUUUUAAGACACUGACUAAAUAUAUAUUCACUUGUCAGCAACAAAACACAUCAUUGUGACCCUCUCAAAAAAAAAUCUUCCAGCAAAGAAAAGUUAUAAUGUAUUUAAUAGGUCAUGUAUUUUCACUUUUAUACAGGAGUGAAGGGGAAAAUAGAGGAGAUGCUUGCAGUAUUUAAGCCUUCUUUGUGUUACAAGACUAAUCAAUUUAACUUCUGCUGCAUGCUUGAGAACUACGGUUUAUUAAUACAAGUCGGAAACUUUGCUAUGUUAUAGCAAAUAGCUAUGCCACUCAGGCUCAAUGUUAGUUCAAAACGUGUUCUUUGUGGACAAAGAGGGAGAGAAUUUACCAGACUCAAAAUACUGGUGAGAUUUGACUUUUCUCAAAAAAUUAUGGAAUAAAAUUAUGCCAGUGUGUAGCUUGAGGUCAUUUUGAAUGGAAAGGAGACAGCAACAGUUAUUAAUAAAUUAGUAUAGAAAAUACUGAUUAAAACACCUUGUUAACUGAUUGGAAUGAGAAAAAUUGCAGUACUCUGCAAACACGGUUCCAAGCAUCAGAAAUAGAAUUGUAAUUGGCCAACAAUUUGAUUAAAAACAAAGUUAUGCUUUUCUUUAAUGUUUCUAUUUUGAAUAUAUGCAAUAUACCUUAGUGUUUCUCUCUUUAAUUCAGUACAUGUGAAUGCCUGUAGCAGUUUAACUUUAUAUACCAGGUAUGUUUCAGAAACUGAAAAAAGUUUCCAGCUGAUUUAGCAGCUGAGGCAUUACUCGUCAGAAUAUCUGAUUACUGGCAUAUUAAGCAGCAGACACAGUGGAACAGAAUAAACAUGAAGCACUGCAUCUGCCAAAUACGUAUAUUUUAAUUACUGCUAACCAAAUGAAUAAAUAGCAGGAUGGCUUUGUAUUUAAAAUUUAUUGCAUGAUGAUAAACAGAAAUCCACAUUAUUGUUCCUUUUUAAAAUUUUGUCAUUAUCAGGUAUUGCACAGCACCUAAAUUUUCAUUUGAAA
This is a long non-coding RNA of Dromaius novaehollandiae (emu), 3167 nucleotides long. RefSeq lists it as uncharacterized. The transcript is spliced from 2 exons. NCBI's taxonomy places the organism in Eukaryota, Metazoa, Chordata, Aves, Casuariiformes, Dromaiidae. The record is from RefSeq and is a predicted model, not a curated record.